Molecule: ribosomal RNA, 253 nt
Filed under: uncultured bacterium
Lineage: Bacteria
Description: partial 16S ribosomal RNA
Rfam family: Bacterial small subunit ribosomal RNA
Source: RNAcentral
UACGUAGUCAGCGAGCGUUGUUCGGAUUUACUGGGCGUAAAGAGUGCGUAGGCGGUUUUCUAAGUUUGGUGUGAAAUCUCCCGGCUCAACUGGGAGGGUGCGACGAAGACUGGAAGGCUUGAGUAUGGGAGAGGUAAGCGGAAUUCCUGGUGUAGCGGUGAAAUGCGUAGAUAUCAGGAGGAACACCUGCGGUGUAGACGGCUUACUGGACCAUAACUGACGCUGAGGCACGAAAGCGUGGGUAGCAAACAGG